UGGAGAGGAAGUGGAGAGGAAAGAAAGAGUGAGCGCUUGGGAGUAUAUAUAAUAUUACUUAUCCUCGUUAUUUCCUCGUAAAGUUACGAGGAAUUACAAAGGCCCGCGUGUUUUAUUGUACGAGGAAGUAGCGAGGAAUUACAAAGGCCCGCGUUUAGCUUUACGAGGAAUUACAAAGGCCCGUGUUUUAUUGUACGAGGAAGUAGCGAGAAAUUACAAAGUCCCGCGUUUAGGUUUACGAGUUUUUUACGACGAUUAAGCUUACGUGGAAUUUACGAGUCAACCUUUUACGAGGAAUUAUCGAGCCCCGCUUUUCAGAAGCUAACUUUGUCUGCUUGUGAAACUAAGAUGAAAGGCUCGAAUUUGUUGUACCUU
Molecule: long non-coding RNA, 375 nt
Filed under: Brassica napus (rape)
Lineage: Eukaryota; Viridiplantae; Streptophyta; Magnoliopsida; Brassicales; Brassicaceae
Description: long non-coding RNA (BNAP_LNC016928)
Source: RNAcentral